UUAAAUAUUUCUUUGAUUUUUCUUUUCCUUCGUUUCUUACCCAUGCCCUAGCUUCCUUCUUCGCCCGAUCCCCUUCCUCUCCGCCGCCCCUCUCGCGCGAUGCCAAGCCGCUGACUUGCCUCUUCCCCGAUCUCUUCGUUUUCCCUCUUCCUUAUCUUCUCCUUCUUCGAUCCUUUUCCUCAUCUCACCGCCGACUGUCAUAGCCCGAUGCCGGGCGUCAAUCGCCGUGUCGCUCCAACUUGUGAGACGCCGGAGCUGCCAGCAAUCGACGUCAUCGACCAGGAGGGAUCUAUUGUCCCUGAGUCUCUCCCUCUCACGCGAAUAUGCUGCAUCAUCCCAACUGAUCAUAGCCACCACUCAAUCGCCGACGCCGAGCUACCUUUCUCCUCUGCUCAUCCCUGGAGGCUGUUGGGUCGUCUUCCUCCCCGGGUCGUCACUCCACACGAGCAGAUCUUCAGCCAAGGAAGGGGAAGGCCGAGCCCAAGCAUCGACCUCCCCUUGCCUGCAUUCUCUUUUGCCCGAUUGUUGCUGCUCGAUCGCUGCCACCUGAUCACUGCCACCUCAAUGUCGCCACUUCGUGUGAGGCCAGCACGAUGACGCCGAUGCCAUCAGCCAUCACGAGAGGCCAAUAGCUAGAUCUGACAAUGAUCAAUCCUAAUCAGUGCUACUCCAGCCGCAGGGAACCACCAGAGAGGAAAAAGGGGAUUUGUGUGGAGAUCCACGGCUGCACUGGAGCUUCGGCCAUGAAUACCAAGUAGCAAGCUCCUCUGGCUGAGUCAACAUUGAAGUCUUUGGAUUUGGGAACACUUGUCAAAAGAUGAUGCUAAACAGCAGUUCUUUAGAAUCUUGAGAACUCCUCCUUAUGGGAAUUCUGUUUUCUUCAGUGUAUGGAAGAUAGAUGAUCCUAUAGGUCUGUUACCUGGAUGAAUCAUUUUAGAAAUUAAUAAGUGAGGGGUUAGUUAAAACAUAUUGUGGGUUAUGUUUCUCCUUUUUUGGGCAGAAGUCAUAUCUUUAUGAGGGGAAGAAGAAAGACCCUUAAAACAGAGAAUACCAAUGAAGAGGAUAAGGCAGAAUCUAAUUGUUGUAACAAUGUUGAGAGGUUUGGAUUUGUACCUGGUCCAGAUUUCACUCUGGAAUCUUUUGAGACAUAUGCAGAUGAGUUCAAGAGACAAUAUUUUAGCAGAAGUGCAGAAUUUGUUUUAGGGUCCUGCCAGCAGGAACCUUCCGAUGAUGAUAUUGAAGGUGAAUAUUGGCGGAUAGUGGAAAGACCAAUAGAAGAGAUUGAGGUGUCACCACAUUUCCUAUGCAGACAUAUAUAAUCAUUAUACAUUUUCAUCUGUUGAUUUAUUUCACAAUUUGGCUUCACAACUUUGAUGUGUUCUAUCCACUUUCUUCUUUCCUUGAACCUUUGUUGUUUCCAUACCUUAAUAUUAGAAACUUUAUUCAUAUAUUGGUUUCGACUAGAACCUGCAGCCAGGUAGAACUCUAACUCAUAUGUUGACUUUGGUUGUUUAGGUUCUUUAUGGUGCUGAUUUUGACACUGGAAUUUUUAGUAGUGGCUUUCUCAAAGAGUAAUCCUUUGCGAAGGUAUGAGCACUAGGGGAUCAGUAUAUGAGUUCUGGAUGGAAUUUAAAUAACAUCAUGACAUACUAUUAUUUCCUAAUAAAAACUGUGUACUAGUCUAUUAUGUCACAAGAUUGUGUUUACAUCAUUUAAUAAGUAUCAAAUGACAAGUCAUAUUUAUUCUUUUCCCUUUUAACAAAAAAAAAAAUGUAUUUGUAUAUAGAACAGCAUCUCUUUUCCCUUUUAACCAAGUCACGCCAUAUGCAUCUUGCACAUGGUGCAUGGAUGUGAGUGUGCAUGAGUUUGUGUUAGCCAACAAACACUUGGGCGGCCGGGGUGUGCACAUUACCGGUUUGUACGUAAGUAGCAUAACCAAUUCUUCAUGUAUAUGAUAAGUUUAGUUCUAUCAUGCUUGUAUGAAUUGAUCAAAUCUGUUGUUUAUAAAUACAAAAGUUUCCAGUUCCGAAAGUAUUCUUCUUCUAUAUGUUCUGACAGUGUUAUUCUUCUUUAUGUCCCAAUUAGAAACUCUUCGUAUUCAUUUACUAGAGGCCUUUUGGAAAUUCAUAAUUCGUUAUGUUUUACAUUGUUGAAUGUAUCUAUUUUAAACAGGUUGGUUGUCGGAUAUUGGGCGGGUUGGCACAUUUUGUUCACUGUUGGUGACAAUAUUUUUUCAAAGAGGCUUGCUGUUGCUUCAAUCAGGUUGUUGAUCUCCUAGUGCCUUAUCAAAGGGGUUGAAAGAUUAGACUUUUUGUUGGAGCUGGUGUGGGGAAGACUGGAUUUAUUAUGGAACUGAUGAUCAAUAAUAU
Long non-coding RNA from Zingiber officinale, 2369 nucleotides. RefSeq lists it as uncharacterized. NCBI's taxonomy places the organism in Eukaryota, Viridiplantae, Streptophyta, Magnoliopsida, Zingiberales, Zingiberaceae. The record is from RefSeq and is a predicted model, not a curated record. The transcript is spliced from 5 exons.